GAUGAAGAACGUAGCGAAAUGCGAUACGUAAUGUGAAUUGCAGAAUUCAGUGGAUCAUCGAAUCUUUGAACGCAUAUUGCGCUCUCUGGUAUUCCGGAGAGCAUGCUUGUUUGAGUAUCAGUAAACACCUCAACUUCCAUAUCUUUUUUGAAAUGGGAGUUGGACUUGAGUGAUCCCAACGCUUUUCCUCACCGAAAAGUGGCGGGUUACUUGAAAUGCAGGUGCAGCUGGACUUUUCUCUGAGCUAUAAGCAUAUCUAUUUAGUCUGCCUAAAAAACAGCUUAUUACCUUUGCUGCAGCUAACAUAAAGGAGAUUAGUUCUUGUGCUGACUGAUGCAGGAUUCACAAAGACAGGCUUCGGCCGACUUUGUAAACUCGAUCUCAUAUCAAGUAAGACUACCCGCUGAACUUAAGCAUAUCAAUAAGCGGAGGA
This 433-nucleotide unclassified non-coding RNA is filed under the name soil metagenome. RNAcentral describes it as "partial contains 5.8S ribosomal RNA, internal transcribed spacer 2, and large subunit ribosomal RNA". The stretch from base 1 to 120 matches the Rfam family "5.8S ribosomal RNA", at positions 35 to 154 of the family's 154-position model. The record is from RNAcentral.